UACGUAGGGGGCUAGCGUUGUCCGGAAUCAUUGGGCGUAAAGAGCGCGUAGGCGGCCAGAUAAGUCCGGCGUGAAAGUCACAGGCUCAACCUGUGAAUGCCGCUGGAAACUGUCUGGCUAGAGUCCGGAAGGGGCGAGUGGAAUUCCUGGUGUAGCGGUGAAAUGCGCAGAUAUCAGGAGGAACACCAAUGGCGAAGGCAGCUCGCUGGGACGGUACUGACGCUGAGGCGCGAAAGCGUGGGGAGCAAACAGG
RNAcentral lists this ribosomal RNA (253 nucleotides) under uncultured bacterium. RNAcentral's name for it is "partial 16S ribosomal RNA". It matches the Rfam family "Bacterial small subunit ribosomal RNA", at positions 524 to 776 of the family's 1533-position model. The record is from RNAcentral.